This is an RNA transcript of Cydia pomonella (codling moth), 2405 nucleotides long. RefSeq lists it as uncharacterized. Lineage: Eukaryota; Metazoa; Arthropoda; Insecta; Lepidoptera; Tortricidae. The transcript is spliced from 2 exons. The record is from RefSeq and is a predicted model, not a curated record.
ACAAUGGGGAAUGGAUGAAAAUAUUAAAUGUGCCUGAUUAUUUUUCUGGUCGUAGGAAUAACCAUUUCUAGUUACAGAAAAAAAUUACAGAUUUUUUGGUUGCGUCUUACAUUUUAUAAAAAUAAAAACAUUUUGCUUCACCGCACGUCCGGCCCAUUACGGCUGUUAAGAAAACUUUCUAAGUCUUAAAAAGUUAUCGCUAUUUGAAUCUGUGGAGCGCAUGACAUUGACAGUUGAUUGACAGCUUGUCAUUCUUCUCGCGUAAUUCAUAACCUUUUGUGCUCUCAUCUGGUGAACUGGUUUCUUUGUAUUUAUGUGAUUAUUACGACUCGCUUCCCCACCCGGACCUCUGAUUUUGCCUGCUCCAACGACGACCUACACUUUUGAACCCCGGACCUGAUUUUGAUAGCAAUUUCGACGACCACUGCAACUGAAACUGGACUAUUAGUUUGGUACCGUGUUCAUCACCAUGAAUACAAACACUUAUAAACUAUAUAAAGAUCCUAAAACAUGCUUUAUACCAACGUGCUCCAAGACUGAUCUGAAAAACCCGGAUUUGAAGUUUUUUACUGUAAGAAAAGAGCUGAAACAACGUUGGUGUCAAUUGGUUGGCAGGAACUGUCCAAACCGAGCACUGUUUUGCUGUGCGGACCACUUAAAUGUAAGUUACCUUGUUUUGUUUACCUUUCUGUAAAAAAAUGAAUUACCCCCAUGUUAGUUUUGAUGAUAUGGCAUUUUUUUAAAUUGUGGAAUAAUGGAUGGAAUAAUUUAUGGUAAGCUGGUAAAAAACAAUUUUAUUAAUACAUUACAUUAAUGUAGGUGCUGCUAUGUCAUGUUUAAACCCUUUGUCAUAUCAAUGAAUUUUCACUUUGUAUUAAAAUAACAUGUGGUAUUUGUCAGUACAUGGUGAACAAAAACACUAUGAGGAAACUGGGCUGAUCAAAACAAUGCCUAGUUUCCUCCAGUUAAAAAAAUGUGUGCCUAUGCCAAUACUUAAUGUUAUAUUGCCCAGCAGACCCCAGGCUCCAUAAGUGAGCUACAGCAAAUACUGGGGAACAUUUGGAAGAUUAUGACAACUGUUAAAUAUAAAUGUUUAAUGUUUUCUAAUAUUUUUACAGUUUGAAGAAGAUUUGGAAAAUUAUGGACAAUGGAUCUCUGGUGCAAAGCCAAGACUAAAAAUAAAUGCCAUACUUAAGAAUUUUUCAAAAAAACCAUUGAGUGCAAUCAAUAAGAAUAUUGAAGAUCUUAAUCGGCCAUCAACUUCAAGUGCUGCUGACAAUGCUGGCAUGCAGGUCUCUGACAGUAUGCAGCUAUACAGUGUGAUAAAAGAAUAGGUGUUUCAAACAAGUUUGUUUUGGCCCAGCCGAAGACUCAAACCAUAGCUACUCAAUUCCGUGGGCGAAAAAUAAAAGAAAGUGUGAUGCCAUCACGAAUGAUGCAACUACCGAACACUGAGAAGAGUCCCAAUCAAUCACCAUCCUUGUUUGGGACAUCCAACUUCGACUCGUCUUCGAGUGCUCAACAAGAGGAUAUUGAAAAACGUGGCAGGGAGCACCUACUAAAAAUUAUUACUAACAAACCCAAAAUGUUUUUAGGUCUGCCAAAAAGCUUUUGGUGGAUUAUUAAUUUCAUUGCCCAGGAGUGCUCUUGUUUGGCAUUUCAUAUUAUCAUAUGUCUAUUUAAAUUAAAAAACAAUGACUCUUUUGCUAGGAUGAGUGAAGAAUUUCAAAUGGCCAGGUCAACCAUACGUUUAGUGUUUGAAAAGAACGUCGUAGUUUUGUCCACAUACUUUCAAAAUUGUAUAUAUUUACCACCACUAUCAGAAAAAAAAAAAAAUUACCAUUAGCAUUUAAAAUCAGAUAUUCGAAUGUACAGUGUAUUAUAGACUGUUUCGAGAUUCAAAUAGAAAAACCCAGCGAUCCAGAGAAGCAGGCGCAGACUUGGUCGCAGUACAAAUCAUGCAACACGAUGAAAUAUUUGAUUGGCUGCACACCCGCUGGAUACAUUUCAUUCAUCUCACAGGGUUAUGGGGGACGUACAUCUGAUAAAGCCAUCACGGAGAACAGUGGCUUUGUUGAUGUACUUCCCCUAAAUGCAGUAAUCAUGGCCGAUCGUGGUUUUAAGGAGAUUGAAUCACUCUUAAUCACAAAAAAUGGAAAACUCUUAAGACCUCCUAGUGUCUUCGCCAAUCAAAAAAUGACAAAAAAAGACGUAAUUAAAACUAAGGUGAUUGCCAGUUUGAGGGUGCACGUUGAGCGUGUAAUUAGGAGAUUACGGGAAUUCCAUAUGUUAAAACCCCACUCUGUGGUUAAUAACAAACAUUUAAAAUAUUUGGACGACCUGGUCAUUAUAGCUUGCGGAUUAAGUAAUCUUCAGAAUCCAAUAAUAAAAGACGUUUGAUAAUA